ACAAAAUGUAAUGUAAGCAAAUGCGCUGACUCUGGUCUUGAUUUGCGCUCAAACCAACAGCUCGCCGAUACUUUGCGGACGACACCAUUCUGUAUACUUCUGGCCCCUCUUUGGACACUGUGUUAACUAACCUCCAGACGAGCAUCAAUGCCAUACAACUCUCCUUCCGUGGCCUCCAACUGCUCUUAAAUGCAAGUAAAACUAAAUGCAUGCUAUUCAAUCGGUCACUGCCCGCCCGUCCAGCAUCACUACUCUGGACGGCUCUGACUUAGAAUACGUGGACAACUACAAAUACCUAGGUGUCUGGUUAGACUGUAAUCUCUCCUUCCAGACUCACAUUAAGCAUCUCCAGUCCAAAAUUAAAUCUAGAAUCGGCUUCCUAUAUCGCAACAAAGCAUCCUUCACUCAUGCUGCCAAACAUACCCUUGUAAAACUGACCAUCCUACCGAUCCUCGACUUUGGCGAUGUCAUCUAUAAAAUAGCUUCCAACACUCUACUCAACAAAUUGGAUGCAGUCUAUCACAGUGCCAUCCGUUUUGCCACCAAAGCCCCAUACACUACCCACCACUGCGACCUGUACGCUCUCGUUGGUUGGCCCUCGCUUCAUACUCGUCACCAAACCUACUGGCUACAGGUUAUCUACAAGUCUCUGCUAGCUAAGGCCCCGCCUUGUAUCAGCUCACUGGUCACCAUAGCAGCACCCACUCAUAGCACGCGCUCCAGCAGGUAUAUUUCACUGGUCACCCCCAAAGCCAAUUCCUCCUUUGGUCGCUUUUCCUUCCAGUUCUCUGCUGCCAAUGACUGGAACGAACUGCAAAAAUCACUGAAGCUGGAGACUCAUAUCUCCCUCACUAGCUUUAAGCACCAGCUGUCAGAGCAGCUCACAGAUCACAGCACCUGUACAUAGCCCAUCUGUAAACAGCCCAUCCAACUACCUCAUCCCCAUACUGUAUUUAUUUAUUUAUCUUGCUCCUUUGCACCCUAGUAUCUCUACUUGCACAGUCAUCUUCUGCACAUCUACCACUCCAGUGUUUUAAUUGCUAAAUUGUAAUUACUUCGCCACCAUGGCCUAUUUAUUGCCUUAACUCCCUUAUCUUACCUCAUUUGCACUCACUGUAUAUAGACUUUUUUUCCUACUCUAUUAUUGACUGUAUGUUUUGUUUAUUCCCCUGUGUAACUCUGUGUUGUUGUACGUGUCAAAUUGCUAUGCUUUAUCUUGGCCAGGUCGCAGUUGCAAAUGAGAACUUGUUCUCAACUAGCCUACCUGGUUAAAUAAAGGUGAAAAAAUAAUAAUAAUAACAUUGUUACACAAUUUAAUGGCGCACAGCAAUGUGGUAUGGAGCUCAAGGUAAGGACCUCUGGCCUCUGCAUGCCUCUGGGGGCAUCACACCAUCCAACCAUUUUCGGAUCAAGCAUAAAUUGGCUCUUAGCUGUGGUAUAUUGGUCAUAUACCACAAACCCCCAAUACAUAAUAAACACAUUUUUAAAAAAGUAGAUAUUUACAUUAAUCUG
Long non-coding RNA from Oncorhynchus tshawytscha (Chinook salmon), 1512 nucleotides. Lineage: Eukaryota; Metazoa; Chordata; Actinopteri; Salmoniformes; Salmonidae. The record is from Ensembl.